AAACCCUGUCGGCUCUGCCCACUCAGCUUCUCACCGCACAGCUCAAGGCGGCUAAGCUGGAGCACUUUGUUGCCAUCUGGUCGGCGGGUGGCGCGCUUUGUGAAGUGGAGGAGGUUCAGGGUGGGUCACCGAAGUUGAACUUGCGGCUGACGCUUGCAUCACCUGUGCAGGCCCCCUAGGUUUCCUUUUGGGCGGCGGUUCAUUCCAGGCGCUGGCGUGGCGUUUAUCGUCAUCAGCUUAUCUGGCGCCCAUGUGUUUUAGCUCUGGCUGGCGUCGCAGCGCCUGGGCGGCUGUGGGACUUCCUGCACAGCGCGUCUUGCAGCGGGCUGGAGCCCGCCUAGUCAGCGCCACAUCUGGCCCGUUUAGUUUUCUGCUUGUGUCUCCUCUGCCGGUUCUCCUGGGGUGUUGCUUAAGCAACCGACUUGUGGGGGUGGGGUGGGUUUGGGCGGGGCGAGUGCGUAGCGCUGGUGUUUCCUCUUCUGGCGUGCGGUGGUGGUGGUUCUUGCGGUUAGGCUGUGGUGUAAGCUGGUGCUUGGGUUAGGUCUGGCGGUGUUUUUGUGCAACCCCUCCCGGGGGGCGGGGGGGCCAGCCUUCUGCUCUGUCUGCC
Molecule: long non-coding RNA, 607 nt
Filed under: Chlamydomonas reinhardtii
Lineage: Eukaryota; Viridiplantae; Chlorophyta; Chlorophyceae; Chlamydomonadales; Chlamydomonadaceae
Description: long non-coding RNA (CREI_LNC000617)
Source: RNAcentral